AGUGAACGCUGGCGGUAGGCCUAACACAUGCAAGUCGAACGGCAGCACAGUAAGAGCUUGCUCUUACGGGUGGCGAGUGGCGGACGGGUGAGGAAUACAUCGGAAUCUACUUUUUCGUGGGGGAUAACGUAGGGAAACUUACGCUAAUACCGCAUACGACCUACGGGUGAAAGCAGGGGAUCUUCGGACCUUGCGCGAUUGAAUGAGCCGAUGUCGGAUUAGCUAGUUGGCGGGGUAAAGGCCCACCAAGGCGACGAUCCGUAGCUGGUCUGAGAGGAUGAUCAGCCACACGGGAACUGGGACACGGUCAAGACUCCUAAGGGAGGCAGCAGUGGGGAAUAUUGGACAAUGGGCGCAAGCCUGAUCCAGCCAUACCGCGUGGGUGAAGAAGGCCUUCGGGUUGUAAAGCCCUUUUGUUGGGAAAGAAAAGCAGCAGGUUAAUACCCCGCUGUUCUGACGGUACCCAAAGAAUAAGCACCGGCUAACUUCGUG
Molecule: ribosomal RNA, 492 nt
Filed under: uncultured bacterium
Lineage: Bacteria
Description: partial 16S ribosomal RNA
Rfam family: Bacterial small subunit ribosomal RNA
Source: RNAcentral